Molecule: ribosomal RNA, 492 nt
Filed under: uncultured bacterium
Lineage: Bacteria
Description: partial 16S ribosomal RNA
Rfam family: Bacterial small subunit ribosomal RNA
Source: RNAcentral
AGUGAACGCUGGCGGUAGGCCUAACACAUGCAAGUCGAACGGCAGCACAGUAAGAGCUUGCUCUUACGGGUGGCGAGUGGCGGACGGGUGAGGAAUACAUCGGAAUCUACUUUUUCGUGGGGGAUAACGUAGGGAAACUUACGCUAAUACCGCAUACGAUCUACGGGUGAAAGCAGGGGAUCUUCGGACCUUGCGCGAUUGAAUGAGCCGAUGUCGGAUUAGCUAGUUGGCGGGGUAAAGGCUCACCAAGGCGACGAUCCGUAGCUGGUCUGAGAGGAUGAUCAGCCACACUGGAACUGAGACACGGUCCAGACUCCUACGGGAGGCAGCAGUAGGGAAUAUUGGACAAUGGGCGCAAGCCUGAUCCAGCCAUACCGCGUGAGUGAAGAAGGCCUUCGGGUUGUAAAGCCCUGUUGUUGGGAAAGAAAAGCAGCAGGUUAAUACCCCGCUGUUCUGACGGUACCCAAAGAAUAAGCACCGGCUAACUUCGUG